Molecule: ribosomal RNA, 447 nt
Filed under: uncultured bacterium
Lineage: Bacteria
Description: SSU rRNA
Rfam family: Bacterial small subunit ribosomal RNA
Source: RNAcentral
AGAACGAACGCUGGCGGCAGGCCUCAAACAUGCAAGUCUAGGGGGUGUAGCAAUACAUCACCGGCGGACGGGUGCGUAACGCGUGGGAAUGUACCUAUUGGUUCGGAACAACUGAGGGAAACUUCAGCUAAUACCGGAUGAGCCCGAAAGGGGAAAGAUUUCUCGCCAAUAGAUCAGCCCGCGUCCGAUUAGCUAGUUGGUGGGGUUAUGGCCUACCAAGGCGACGAUCGGUAGCUGUUCUGAGAGGAAGAUCAGCCACACUGGGACUGAGACACGGCCCAGACUCCUACGGGAGGCAGCAGUUGGGAAUCUUGGACAAUGGGGGAAACCCUGAUCCAGCCAUGCCGCGUGAGUGAUGAAGGCCUUCGGGUUGUAAAACUCUUUCGACGGGACGAUAAUGACGGUACCCGUAGAAGAAGCUCCGGCUAACUUCGUGCCAGCAGCCGC